GACGAACGCUGGCGGCGUGCCUAAUACAUGCAAGUUGAGCGAUGAAGAUUGGUGCUUGCACCAAUUUGCAGAGCAGCGAACGGGUGAGUAACGCGUGGGGAAUCUGCCUUUGAGCGGGGGACAACAUUUGGAAACGAAUGCUAAUACCGCAUAACAACUUUAAACAUAAGUUUUAAGUUUGAAAGAUGCAAUUGCAUCACUCAAAGAUGAUCCCGCGUUGUAUUAGCUAGUUGGUGAGGUAAAGGCUCACCAAGGCGAUGAUACAUAGCCGACCUGAGAGGGUGAUCGGCCACAUUGGGACUGAGACACGGCCCAAACUCCUACGGGAGGCAGCAGUAGGGAAUCUUCGGCAAUGGACGAAAGUCUGACCGAGCAACGCCGCGGGAGUGAAGAAGGUUUUCGGAUCGUAAAACUCUGUUGGUAGAGAAGAACGUUGGUGAGAGUGGAAAGCUCAUCAAGUGACGGUAACUACCCAGAAAGGGACGGCUAACUACGUG
RNAcentral lists this ribosomal RNA (497 nucleotides) under uncultured bacterium. RNAcentral's name for it is "partial 16S ribosomal RNA". It matches the Rfam family "Bacterial small subunit ribosomal RNA", at positions 28 to 507 of the family's 1533-position model. The record is from RNAcentral.